UGGGGAAUUUUGGACAAUGGGGCAACCCUGAUCCAGCAAUGCCGCGUGUGUGAAGAAGGCCUUCGGGUUGUAAAGCACUUUUGUCCGGAAAGAAAACGUCGUGGUUAAUACCCGUGGCGGCUGACGGUACCGGAAGAAUAAGCACCGGCUAACUACGUGCCAGCAGCCGCGGUAAUACGUAGGGUGCAAGCGUUAAUCGGAAUUACUGGGCGUAAAGCGUGCGCAGGCGGUCCGCUAAGACAGAUGUGAAAUCCCCGGGCUUAACCUGGGAACUGCAUUUGUGACUGGCGGGCUAGAGUAUGGCAGAGGGGGGUAGAAUUCCACGUGUAGCAGUGAAAUGCGUAGAGAUGUGGAGGAAUACCGAUGGCGAAGGCAGCCCCCUGGGCCAAUACUGACGCUCAUGCACGAAAGCGUGGGGAGCAAACAGGAUUAGAUACCCUGGUAGUCCACGCCCUAAACGAUGUCAACUAGUUGUCGGGUCUUCAUUGACUUGGUAACGUAGCUAA
RNAcentral lists this ribosomal RNA (506 nucleotides) under uncultured bacterium. RNAcentral's name for it is "partial 16S ribosomal RNA". It matches the Rfam family "Bacterial small subunit ribosomal RNA", at positions 355 to 855 of the family's 1533-position model. The record is from RNAcentral.